UACGGAGGUGGCAAGCGUUACUCGGAUUUACUGGGUGUAAAGCGCACGUAGGCGGUUAGAUAAGCUCUGCCUAAAAUCCUCGCGCUCAACGCGAGAUCGUGGUGGAGGACUGUCUGACUUGAGGGUUGGAGAGGCGAGCGGAAUUCCCGGUGUAAGGGUGACAUCUGUAGAUAUCGGGAGGAACACCAGUGGCGAAGGCGGCUCGCUGGCCAAUUACUGACGCUGAGGUGCGAAAGCUAGGGGAGCAAACAGG
RNAcentral lists this ribosomal RNA (253 nucleotides) under uncultured bacterium. RNAcentral describes it as "partial 16S ribosomal RNA". It matches the Rfam family "Bacterial small subunit ribosomal RNA", at positions 524 to 776 of the family's 1533-position model. The record is from RNAcentral.